UCCGGAUAGCAUCUGCCAUAAUUGUGCCACGUGCAUUUUGGUCCAAAUUUAAGCUAUUACAAAAAUUCAAACCAUAACCAUAGUCCCUGCAUCCUUCACGAUAUUUUAUUGGUGCAAUAUAUGAAGUUGAUACUGACUUUUGGAGUCUGUUGCAGUUUUGUAAACUCAGUCGUCUUAAUGAUGACAAAGAGGCAGUGUCAG
Molecule: unclassified non-coding RNA, 201 nt
Filed under: Hevea brasiliensis (rubber tree)
Lineage: Eukaryota; Viridiplantae; Streptophyta; Magnoliopsida; Malpighiales; Euphorbiaceae
Source: RNAcentral